GCGGGGAUAGCUCAGUUGGGAGAGCGUCAGACUGAAGUAACACUUCAUUCAAUAAAUCUGAAGGUCGUGCGUUCGAUCCGCACUCACCGCA
This 91-nucleotide transfer RNA is filed under the name Poronia punctata. Its description in RNAcentral is "tRNA-Phe". It matches the Rfam family "tRNA". Rfam says of the family: Transfer RNA (tRNA) molecules are approximately 80 nucleotides in length. Their secondary structure includes four short double-helical elements and three loops (D, anti-codon, and T loops). Lineage: Eukaryota; Fungi; Ascomycota; Sordariomycetes; Xylariales; Xylariaceae. The record is from RNAcentral.